Thalassophryne amazonica is the source of this 180-nucleotide long non-coding RNA. RefSeq lists it as uncharacterized. The record is from RefSeq and is a predicted model, not a curated record. Lineage: Eukaryota; Metazoa; Chordata; Actinopteri; Batrachoidiformes; Batrachoididae. The transcript has 3 exons.
ACAAGAUGAAAAAGAAGCUUGGAAGAAAAAAGAAGACAAAACAAAGAGCGCCAACAAAUACAUCAACAUGCAUUUCCUCCUGGAACCACAUGCCCACACUGCCACCGAUCCUUCCAAGCUAGGAUUGGCCUUAUCAGUCACCUACAGACCCAUUACUGACAAUAUGUGAAGACUGUCAUC